GUGAGUAAUGCAUCGGAACGUGCCCAGUCGUGGGGGAUAAAGCAGCGAAAGCUGUGCUAAUACCGCAUACGAUCUAUGGAUGAAAGCGGGGGACCGUAAGGCCUCGCGCGAUUGGAGCGGCCGAUGUCAGAUUAGGUAGUUGGUGGGGUAAAGGCUCACCAAGCCAAUGAUCUGUAGCUGGUCUGAGAGGACGACCAGCCACACUGGGACUGAGACACGGCCCAGACUCCUACGGGAGGCAGCAGUGGGGAAUUUUGGACAAUGGGCGCAAGCCUGAUCCAGCAAGGGCGCGUGCAGGAAGAAGGCCUUCGGGUUGUAAAUUAAAAGGGUACGGAACGAAACAGGUUUGGGUUAAUACCCUGGGCCGAUGACGGUACCGUAAGAAU
This 386-nucleotide ribosomal RNA is filed under the name uncultured bacterium. RNAcentral's name for it is "bacterial SSU rRNA". It matches the Rfam family "Bacterial small subunit ribosomal RNA", at positions 106 to 487 of the family's 1533-position model. The record is from RNAcentral.